AGUGAACGCUGGCGGUAGGCCUAACACAUGCAAGUCGAACGGCAGCACAGUAAGAGCUUGCUCUUACGGGUGGCGAGUGGCGGACGGGUGAGGAAUACAUCGGAAUCUACUUUUUCGUGGGGGAUACGUAGGGAAACUUACGCUAAUACCGCAUACGACCUACGGGUGAAAGCAGGGGAUCUUCGGACCUUGCGCGAUUGAAUGAGCCGAUGUCGGAUUAGCUAGUUGGCGGGGUAAAGGCCCACCAAGGCGACGAUCCGUAGCUGGUCUGAGAGGAUGAUCAGCCACAGUGGAGAAGAGACAACGUCGAGAGCACGACGGGAGGCAGCAGGGGGGAAUGUUGAAGAAUGGGUGCAAGUCGGACAAAGCUAUAGCGAGGGGGUAAAGAAGGCAUUAGGGUCGUAAAGCCGUUUUGUGGGGAAAAAAAAGCAGCAGGCUGAUACCCCGCUGUUCGGAGGGUAACGAAAAAAUAAACACGGGCUAACUUGGUG
RNAcentral lists this ribosomal RNA (491 nucleotides) under uncultured bacterium. RNAcentral describes it as "partial 16S ribosomal RNA". It matches the Rfam family "Bacterial small subunit ribosomal RNA", at positions 30 to 507 of the family's 1533-position model. The record is from RNAcentral.